This 406-nucleotide ribosomal RNA is filed under the name uncultured bacterium. RNAcentral describes it as "partial 16S ribosomal RNA". It matches the Rfam family "Bacterial small subunit ribosomal RNA", at positions 30 to 526 of the family's 1533-position model. The record is from RNAcentral.
AUUGAACGCUGGCGGCAGGCCUAACACAUGCAAGUCGAACGAGUGGCGGACGGGUGCGUCAUGUCUGUGACACUGCCCGAUGGAGGGGGAUCACUCCUGGAAACGGUAGCUACUACCGCAUACCAUCGGAUGUUCCCAGAUGGGAUUAGCUUGUAGGUGAGGUAACGGCUCACCUCGGCGACGAUCCCUAGCUGGUCUGAGAGGAUGACCAGCAACACGGGAACGGAGACACGGUCCAGACUCCGACGGGAGGCAGCAGUGGGGAAGAUUGCACAAUGGGCGCAAGCCUGAUGCAGCCAUGCCGCGUGUAUGAAGAAGGCCUUCGGGUUGUAAAGUACUUUCAGCGGGGAGGCGUUACCCGCAGAAGAAGCACCGGCUAACUCCGUGCCAGCAGCCGCGGUAAUUC